This 213-nucleotide ribosomal RNA is filed under the name Saccharibacillus sp. WB 17. Its description in RNAcentral is "partial 23S ribosomal RNA". It matches the Rfam family "Bacterial large subunit ribosomal RNA", at positions 2713 to 2925 of the family's 2925-position model. The record is from RNAcentral. Lineage: Bacteria; Bacillati; Bacillota; Bacilli; Caryophanales; Paenibacillaceae.
UGUACCAGUUGUUCCGCCAGGAGCAUCGCUGGGUAGCUACGUGCGGAAGGGAUAAACGCUGAAAGCAUCUAAGCGUGAAGCCCCCCUCAAGAUGAGAUUUCCCACACGCAAGUGGUAAGACCCCUUGAAGACGACGAGGUAGAUAGGCAGGAGGUCGAAGCGUAGCAAUACGUGUAGCUGACCUGUACUAAUCGGUCGAGGGCUUAUCCUAUA